UGUUUUAAGAAAGAACAAGGGGUGGGGGUAACUUCUUCCCCCCCUGGACGGUUUUUUAACCAGAAAGGCAAGGGUAAUUACGUGCCAGCAGCCGCGGUAAUACGUAGGUGGCAAGCGUUGUUCCGGAUUUAUUUGGGCGUAAAGCGAGCGCCGGCCGUUUUUUUAAGUUUGAUGUGAAAGCCCCCGGCUCAACCGGGGAGGGUCAUUGGAAACUGGGAGACUUGAGUGCAGAAGAGGAGAGUGGAAUUCCAUGUGUAGCGGUGAAAUGCGUAGAUAUAUGGAGGAACACCAGUGGCGAAGGCGGCUCUUUUGUCUGUAACUGACGGUGAGGCUCGAAAGCGUGGGGAGCAAACAGGAUUAGAUACCCUGGUAGUUCACGCCGUAAACGAUGAGUGCUAAGUGUUGGAGGGUUUCCGCCCUUCAGUGGUGCAGCUAACGCAUUAAGCACUCCGCCUGGGGAGUACGACCGCAAGGUUGAAAAUCAAAGGAAUUGACGGGGGCCCGCACAAGCGGUGGAGCAUGUGGUUUAAUUUGAAGCAACGGGAAGAACCUUACCAGGUCUUGACAUCCUUUGACCACUCUAGAGAUAGAGGUUUCCCUUUGGGGGCAAAGUGACAGGUGGUGCAUGGUUGUUGUCAGCUCGUGU
RNAcentral lists this ribosomal RNA (646 nucleotides) under Enterococcus mundtii. RNAcentral describes it as "bacterial SSU rRNA". It matches the Rfam family "Bacterial small subunit ribosomal RNA", at positions 434 to 1065 of the family's 1533-position model. The record is from RNAcentral. Lineage: Bacteria; Bacillati; Bacillota; Bacilli; Lactobacillales; Enterococcaceae.